UACUCUGCUCUGGAGCAGCCUUCACUUUGAGUACUGUAUGCAAUUUUGCAUCCUGAAAUGUAAGAAGAACUGUAUGGAAACUAUUGCAUUACGGCCUGACCUCUGAUUGAUCACCUCAGGCAAGCAAUGGGUCAGCUGAGGGAGCACAGGUGAAGGCAAUUCGCCUGCGUGACCAGAAGGAGUGGAGCCUGGCUUUACCUCUCCUAGACCCCAUUUAAGGGCUGACUGCCACUUAGGAAGGAUCUCUCUCUGGAAGUUGCGCUUCUUGGAAUCUUCUUUUGCAAGCCCAGGACAUGGAUGCUCUGCAAACAACAGUGAUAACACCCAACAAGUCCAACCUGAUGUCUUCUUAAAAACAAACUUCCACCAGGAAUAUUACAUCUAUAGCAGCCUUCCAAAGAACAAUUUCUACAAAGAUCUGCUGCAAGUCUGGAAUGACAGUAGAAGAUGGAAUAUCUAAUUCCAAACUACAGUCAGAAGUAGUUUUGCAAAGCACAAUGGGGAGUACCUGGACCGAUAUCUGUGAAGGGGUAGCUGCCGCUCCACCAUUCUGAUAGCUCAAAAAUUGUUUAGUGCUGUUAAAAGACUGUUCCUACUAGCCAUACAGCAACACCUGGAAAAUCACAAACCAGAAAGUUAAAGGCAAACAAAGGAAACAAAAGUCAAAGAAUAUAUUUUCCCGGAUGUGUAGCAAUCCUGUGCAUAUCGAUACAAUUUUGUCAAUCUCAAUGUGCUGUGUUCACCAUUGAGAUGCUAUUCAGUUGUAUGUGUACUUCCAAGUUAGACAGUUAUCUAUAAUGAAAAUGGAUAAUUUUGUAAGAAUUUUAAUUCUGUACAGAACCUGUGAGACUGUAUCAAAAGAAAUAUAGUACAAAGCAGCCAAGAUUUUUAGCAAUAAGAAAUAUUAAUUCACUUUAUAUCUGCUGAAAUGUUAAUUGGACCAUAGCUCUAUUUCAACUUAGCUGGGUUUUGUUUUAAUUUCUUUUCUUUGCUUUGUUCAAUACUUCUUUUCAAUUGUGCUUACUUUGCUUUACUCGUGAGUAUUUUUUUUGUUUGUUUUCAGUUAGAUACUGCAAUACCACUAUUUUUUCUGAAUGAUAGAAAAUUUCCUAACUCUAUGUUGCAUAAAGUGUAACAUUUGAUUUGUCAAGGCAUAGUGACUUGACGUUCAAAGAAAAAGAAAAGCCUUUUAAGGAAAAUUGCUCGUACUACACCAAUAGGACAUUAACAAUAACUCUAAUGUAACAGAAUUGCAUGGUAUCCCUUUUAAGUUCCAAAAAGUUUUCAUCUUACAUAAAAAAUAACAUAAGAUGUGAAUGUCAUUUUGAAUUUUUGUAUUCUUGACAUCA
Molecule: non-coding RNA, 1349 nt
Organism: Meleagris gallopavo (turkey)
Lineage: Eukaryota; Metazoa; Chordata; Aves; Galliformes; Phasianidae
Source: RefSeq, a predicted model, not a curated record